GAUCCAGACUCCUACGGGAGGCAGCAGUGGGGGAUAUUGCACAAUGGGGGAAACCCUGAUGCAGCGGCGCCGCGUGGGUGAAGAAGCGCCUCGGCGCGUAAAGCCCUGUCAGCAGGGAAGAAAAUGACGGUACCUGAAGAAGAAGCCCCGGCUAACUACGUGCCAGCAGCCGCGGUAAUACGUAGGGGGCAAGCGUUAUCCGGAUUUACUGGGUGUAAAGGGAGCGUAGACGGCAGUGCAAGUCCGGAGUGAAAGCCCGGGGCUCAACCCUGGGACUGCUCUGGAAACUGUACGGCUGGAGUGCAGGAGAGGUAAGUGGAAUUCCUAGUGUAGCGGUGAAAUGCGUAGAUAUUAGGAGGAACACCAGUGGCGAAGGCGGCUUACUGGACUGUAACUGACGUUGAGGCUCGAAAGCGUGGGGAGCAAACAGGAUUAGAUACCCUGGUAC
RNAcentral lists this ribosomal RNA (448 nucleotides) under uncultured bacterium. RNAcentral describes it as "bacterial SSU rRNA". It matches the Rfam family "Bacterial small subunit ribosomal RNA", at positions 328 to 793 of the family's 1533-position model. The record is from RNAcentral.